This 381-nucleotide long non-coding RNA is filed under the name Brassica napus (rape). RNAcentral's name for it is "long non-coding RNA (BNAP_LNC001731)". Lineage: Eukaryota; Viridiplantae; Streptophyta; Magnoliopsida; Brassicales; Brassicaceae. The record is from RNAcentral.
ACACCAAAGCCCAACAAAGAGAAGAACAUGAAAGGAAGGACGAGGAGCCUAUAACAGAGAAGCCAUAUACGACAUCAAGUUUCUAAAACUCGUUGUACCUUUCACUGACGGAGCCUGAGAAGACCUCCGUUCUAAGGCACCCCAUAGACGGGCUGAGUCUACUAACCUCUGCCUCUCUUCCCAGAGGAGAAGCCAUGGAUCUAAACCGCCACCGACAAGCAAAGGAGCAGACAACAUAAUCCAUACGACACAACACCAGAUUUGGGAAGAGCAUCAUUCCUCGCCUUUUGUUGCUAUCAAGGUAAAGUCACAUGCGAAACAAAAUCGAUCCAACCACCAACCCCUAAAAGCCGACACCUUCCAGCAUCUCCACCUAACCAU